Molecule: unclassified non-coding RNA, 375 nt
Filed under: soil metagenome
Description: partial contains 5.8S ribosomal RNA, internal transcribed spacer 2, and large subunit ribosomal RNA
Rfam family: 5.8S ribosomal RNA (bases 1-120)
Source: RNAcentral
GAUGAAGAACGUAGCGAAAUGCGAUAAGUAAUGUGAAUUGCAGAAUUCAGUGAAUCAUCGAAUCUUUGAACGCACAUUGCGCCCGCCAGUAUUCUGGCGGGCAUGCCUGUUCGAGCGUCAUUUCAACCCUCAAGACCCCUUCGGGGGACUUGGUGUUGGGGACCGGCACAGGGGCCUGCCUGCUUGUCUUGCAGCGCCCUCGCCGCCCCCGAAAUGAAUUGGCGGCCUCGUCGCGGCCUCCCCUGCGUAGUAGCACAACCUCGCAACGGGAACGUGACGGCGGCCACUGCCGUAAAACAACCCCAAUUUUAUUAGAGUUGACCUCGAAUCGGGUAGGAAUACCCGCUGAACUUAAGCAUAUCAAUAAGCGGAGGA